RNAcentral lists this unclassified non-coding RNA (417 nucleotides) under Hevea brasiliensis (rubber tree). Lineage: Eukaryota; Viridiplantae; Streptophyta; Magnoliopsida; Malpighiales; Euphorbiaceae. The record is from RNAcentral.
AAAAAAAAAUUAAAAAAAAAAAGAGAGAAUUUUGACAUGUUAAUCAAAUCAUUAGAAUUACCGAUAAAAAGGAAAAUUCACUAUAACUAUAGUUUUUACCUCAAACGUAUAUAUUUCACAAAUUAUACAACCAAAAAAAGAAAAGAUAUAUUCCCUUUGUUUCUGCCAAUAACAAACAUCGCUAAUGUCAAUGUACGCAGAAAACCAACACCACAUUUCGCUUUUUUCCUUUUUUUUUUUUUUUCAAUUUUCUCAUGUAGGUAUUAUACUGUGUUUGUUGUACCUUCAAUUUGAAGAAAACAAUAAUCCUGCAUUUGUUCUGUGCUUAGCUUUCCAUAUCUUUUCAGAUAUGUCUUACUUAAGUUGGAUAUAAUUGUAUAAUUGAAAGAAUUCAUUCAUUAUUCUUAUAGAAACCAU